This 1497-nucleotide long non-coding RNA is filed under the name Medicago truncatula (barrel medic). RNAcentral describes it as "long non-coding RNA (MTRU_LNC000858)". The record is from RNAcentral. Lineage: Eukaryota; Viridiplantae; Streptophyta; Magnoliopsida; Fabales; Fabaceae.
UUAAUGGCUCAAUGGGUAUAUCACUUCUUGGGUUAUAGAAAAAUGCAAGAGAAAGUCUCUCUUGAUCUGAAUUCACUAUCACUCUGUGCUCCACACUCUUGUAUGUUGCAUUGCUUAGAACCUGUUCAAUUGUCAACAUACACAAACAAAUUAACCAAUUAAUUAAUGUGACUUAUAUAUAUCUCAGAGGGAAAGGAAAAAUGAGGCAAAUUUUAACAGUGGAAAAAAAGUUACAUUAAAUAACGAGGAGUUCAGGACAAUAAUUAGUGUUUUACAAAUUGAACUGAUUAUCAAAUAGGUAAGGUUAUGAAGUCACUAGUCUAAAUACUAAGUUACUUAUCGAACCAUGCAAAUAAAUUGGAUUAAAUCAGAUGAUUCUGUUGUCAAUAAAACCAUUGAGAAAAUAAAAGCUUAGUUUUUUUUCUUCUUUCAUUUUCGCUACUAUAAUGCAUAGACUAAAACAAGGUAGAAACUUUUUUUCAUUCUCAAGGUUUAAAAAGAAUUAUGUUUUUUUUCUUCUUAGUAAUUAAUUGUUAAAUAAUUUUUUUUUUCAUUCGUUCCAGUUCGAACCAAAAACAUCAAACUUCUUAUAUGUUAUCCCAAACUUAUAUGUCUUCCAUACAAGUACAUUUUUUAUAAAUCUAUGAUUUUGAUAUCGUUUGAAUGUGUAUUUUGAGAGUUAUAUAUAGCUUUUAGAGAUAUAAAGAGCAUUGGUUGCUUCUAAAAUUACCUUGCCAAUAAAAAAUACUAUGACUUCAAGUGAUAACACUAGCCAAAUGUUUAUCUAUUUAUGUAGACAUGUGAAUGUAAUUUCCAAUAGUAUAGAAUUUUUUUUAAUAAAAUAAUAUGAGGAUAGGUUAAAAGAAUCAAUCAACUAAUAAACUCAUCUUUUAUCCCAAAUCCCAAGCAUAUAAAGUAUAAACUAUAUAUGGUGAUGCAAGUGGUGACGUACGCAUCAAAUAUAAAGAAUUGGAAAUUAAUUAUGUCACUCGAUAAUAUAAAAAAAUUAAAGGACAUUUUUCCAAUUUAAAAUACAUAUUUUGGGUAAUAAUACAUAAAUCAUAAAUAAUGGAUAUAAAAUAUUUGGACACAAUACACCUAAUUUUAGCCUAAAUUUAAAUUAUCUAACCUUUUCAACAUCGUACGUAAGUAAAGAGCAUGUGCAUUUUAAGAAAGACAUGUGCAUAGUAUACAUUUGUUGUUUGAAGAAUAAACUUAAAAUAAUGAUAAAGAACAACCCCCAAGUUCCCAUCCCAUGUGUCUCUCCACGUGGGCAGAUUCGUGUAUUAAAUUAUCGUGAAUACUAGCCAAACAUUAAUAGUUAGGAUAAUUUAUGUGAGAGAAAAAUAUGAUAUUUUAAUCUUAAAUAUUUACCUGUAUUUGGUCACCAAUGUUGACUAUGAAGCCAUGUCUAGCAGGGUUGACCGUAAUCCAAUUAUCAAAUUUUCGAACUUGAAGACCAGCCACUUGGUCAUCUGGAAGCAACAUAGUCAUACC